AUUGAACGCUGGCGGCAUGCCUUACACAUGCAAGUCGAACGGCAGCAUGAUCUAGCUUGCUAGAUUGAUGGCGAGUGGCGAACGGGUGAGUAAUACAUCGGAACGUGCCCUGUAGUGGGGGAUAACUAGUCGAAAGAUUAGCUAAUACCGCAUACGACCUGAGGGUGAAAGUGGGGGAUCGCAAGGCCGCAUGCUCUAGGAGCGGCCGAUGUCUGAUUAGCUAGUUGGUGAGGUAAAGGCUCACCAAGGCGACGAUCAGUAGCUGGUCUGAGAGGACGAUCAGCCCCACUGGGACUGAGACACGGCCAUGACUCCUACGGGAGGCAGCAGUGGGGAAUUUUGGACAAAGGGCGGAAGCCUGGUCCAGCAAUGCCGCGUGUUUGAAGAAGGCCUUCGGGUUGUAAAGCACUUUUGUCCGGAAAGAAAUGGCUCUGGUUAAUACCUGGGGUCGAUGACGGUACCGGAAGAAUAAGGACCGGCUGACUACGUG
RNAcentral lists this ribosomal RNA (490 nucleotides) under uncultured bacterium. RNAcentral's name for it is "partial 16S ribosomal RNA". It matches the Rfam family "Bacterial small subunit ribosomal RNA", at positions 30 to 507 of the family's 1533-position model. The record is from RNAcentral.